This 59-nucleotide transfer RNA is filed under the name Myotis keaysi (Hairy-legged myotis). Its description in RNAcentral is "tRNA-Ser". Lineage: Eukaryota; Metazoa; Chordata; Mammalia; Chiroptera; Vespertilionidae. The record is from RNAcentral.
GAAAAAGAAUGCAAGAACUGCUAAUUCAUGCCUCCGUACAUGAAAGUACGGCUUUUUCU